GACGAACGCUGGCGGCGUGCCUAAUACAUGCAAGUAGGACGCAGUUGCGAACGGGUGAGUAACGCGUAGGUAACUGCCUAUUAGAGGGGGAUAACUAUUGGAAACGAUAGCUAAUACCGCAUACUAGUAGAUGGACCUGCGUUGUAUUAGCUAGUAGGUAGGGUAAUGGCCUACCUAGGCAACGAUACAUAGCCGACUGGUGAGGGUGACCGGCCACACUGGGACUUAGACACGGCCCAGACUCCUACGGGAGGCAGCAGUAGGGAAUCUGCGGCAAUGGGGGGAACCCGGACCGAGCACCGCCGCGUGAGUGAAGAAGUUUUUCGUAUCGUAAAUCUUGUUUGUUAAGGAAGCGGUACUUAACAAGAAAGGGACGGCUAACUACGUGCCAGCAGCCGCGGUAAUUC
RNAcentral lists this ribosomal RNA (407 nucleotides) under uncultured bacterium. RNAcentral describes it as "partial 16S ribosomal RNA". It matches the Rfam family "Bacterial small subunit ribosomal RNA", at positions 28 to 526 of the family's 1533-position model. The record is from RNAcentral.